GCAAGUCGAACGGAAAGGCCCUUCGGGGCGCUCGAGUGGCGAACGGGUGAGUAACACGUGGGUGAUCUGCCCUGCACUCUGGGAUAAGCCUGGGAAACUGGGUCUAAUACCGGAUAGGACCAUGGGAUGCACGUCUUGUGGUGGAAAGCGUUUUGUAGCGGUGUGGGAUGGGCCCGCGGCCUAUCAGCUUGUUGGUGGGGUGAUGGCCUACCAAGGCGACGACGGGUAGCCGGCCUGAGAGGGUGUCCGGCCACACUGGGACUGAGAUACGGCCCAGACUCCUACGGGAGGCAGCAGUGGGGAAUAUUGCACAAUGGGCGCAAGCCUGAUGCAGCGACGCCGCGUGGGGGAUGACGGCCUUCGGGUUGUAAACCUCUUUCAAUAGGGACGAAGCGGAAGUGACGGUACCUAUAGAAGAAGCACCGGCCAACUACGUGCCAGCAGCCGCGGUAAUACGUAGGGUGCGAGCGUUGUCCGGAAUUACUGGGCGUAAAGAGCUCGUAGGUGGUUUGUCGCGUUGUUCGUGAAAACUCACAGCUUAACUGUGGGCGUGCGGGCGAUACGGGCAGACUGGAGUACUGUAGGGGAGACUGGAAUUCCUGGUGUAGCGGUGGAAUGCGCAGAUAUCAGGAGGAACACCGGUGGCGAAGGCGGGUCUCUGGGCAGUAACUGACGCUGAGGAGCGAAAGCGUGGGGAGCGAACAGGAUUAGAUACCCUGGUAGUCCACGCCGUAAACGGUGGGUACUAGGUGUGGGUUUCCUUC
Molecule: ribosomal RNA, 764 nt
Filed under: uncultured Mycobacteriaceae bacterium
Lineage: Bacteria; Bacillati; Actinomycetota; Actinomycetes; Mycobacteriales; Mycobacteriaceae
Description: SSU rRNA
Rfam family: Bacterial small subunit ribosomal RNA
Source: RNAcentral